AACCGGAGCUAAUACCGGAUAAUAUAUUGAACUGCAUGGUUCAAUAGUGAAAGACGGUUUUGCUGUCACUUAUAGAUGGAUCCGCGCCGCAUUAGCUAGUUGGUAAGGUAACGGCUUACCAAGGCAACGAUGCGUAGCCGACCUGAGAGGGUGAUCGGCCACAUUGGAACUGAGACACGGUCCAG
This 185-nucleotide ribosomal RNA is filed under the name uncultured Staphylococcus sp. RNAcentral describes it as "partial 16S ribosomal RNA". It matches the Rfam family "Bacterial small subunit ribosomal RNA", at positions 155 to 334 of the family's 1533-position model. The record is from RNAcentral. Lineage: Bacteria; Bacillati; Bacillota; Bacilli; Caryophanales; Staphylococcaceae.